Molecule: long non-coding RNA, 965 nt
Organism: Triticum dicoccoides
Lineage: Eukaryota; Viridiplantae; Streptophyta; Magnoliopsida; Poales; Poaceae
Exons: 3
Source: RefSeq, a predicted model, not a curated record
CGCCCACGGAAGAGCUAGCCACGCACUCCCCCAAACAGGCCUUCCUUUUAUAGUUACGGUUUUGCUAUUUUUCAGUUGAGUGUUUUUCAAUUGGCCGUCAUUCGAAUUUGUGGUCGCCUGAUUGCGCGCUGUGAUUCGCACUUAGUUCUCUGGUUUCCUGGCGAGGGUUUCCUUUGUUGCUGGUUCGGUUUUCUUUCGUCAGGCGCGGUUUUUUGGUUAUGCCCGUGUCUCUUUCCCUUUUCAUUUCCCCCCUCUUGGAUUCUUCUCUGUUUGAUUUCGGCGGUACUGUUUCGAAAGGGUAGAGAGGGAGCGAAAGGAGGAGGCGCUCGAGCGGCGGAGGGACGAGGCGAUUUCAGUCUGGUUCAUGGCAGUGGCGAGAUCCCUCUCUCCUCGAGCUUGAGUGUUCUGCCCGAUUCGUUGGAAAUCUCUAGUGAUGAUGGAGGGCUUGACGAAGCUCUCUUCGACUUCUAUAUGGAUCAUGUAUGUGUUUUCUUGUGUUGUUUUGAGUUUAUGUGUUGUUAUUCUGAUGUCUUAUCGUUUUGUUGUUGAUUAUUGGUUGUCGUACUAAUUUUUUCAAAAAGUGAAAUGUUUAAAGAGGAAGUUAUCAUGUGCUGGAAAAAGAAAUGUGAAGUUGAAGCGGUCUUCUGAUUUCCCCGUUUGUUCUACUUUUCAUUGGAUAUUCAGGGAAAUUUUUCUCAGGUGUUGUCGAUGGUUUGUGUCCAAUGUAUAAAGGUGUGGUCCAGGGAUCAGCUGGAGGUUUCUUUGUUAUUUUUGGUUUAGUUGACAACCGGGUCUGUUUUUUCCAGCCCGACCCAUUUAGUGGAUACGAGCAGAUUCAUUUUCUCGGUAGUUUUGUAGAAAUACAGGUGUCUGCAGUGGUCAGAAAAUUUGAUUGAUAUCGAAUUGAAAAUCAGUCAAAUGUAAAAUAGACAGUCCCAGCUACUAUAGUUAUGUGCACUGCUCAA